UGCGCCGGCGGACAGUUGCAACUUUUGCAGCGACUGACGCCCAGCUGCCGUUUCUCCCUCCACCGGCUCCCGGACUACAUUCCUCCUUCCUGCGUGUCAUCCCUCCAUUCACCCCCCGCGGUGCGCUGCUUUCCCCACUUUCCUUAUUUCCUCUCCUCUGUCGUUGAGCCCUGCACUUUCCCUGAGACGGAGAGAGAGAGAGAGAGAGAGAGAGAGAGAGAGAGAGAGAGAGAGAGAGAGAGAGAGAGGGGGAGAGGGGCUUGUGUAAUCUCUGGCUGCACAGUUAUUGCUUCAGCUGGAAAAGGGCACCGGGGACGCGUAAAGGACACGCUUUGGAAGGAGAGCAGGAGAAGGUGAAGUAAGGCCGGCGGACGCGGACGGACGGAGUUUGGAGUCGGGGAGCAGGACGCGGACCAUGUCGGGCUCUGCGCUGCUGCUGCUGUCCCUGCUGUCCCUGCUGCUGCUGUCCGCGGGGAGCGACAGCAGCAGAAUCAGGAAAAGAGGACUCAACCAUAAGGACUACGAGUACCCCAACCACCCCCAGUCCACGCAGCAGCAGAAGAACGACCGGUGUCCACCGCCACCCCAGAUGCUGCCGGAGAAAGCCUGCGAGGUGCCGGGCUGCCGCUCGGACUCGGAGUGCGAGCGCCACAAACGCUGCUGCUACAACGGAUGCAUCUACGCCUGCCUGGAGUCCGUCCAGCCUCCACCAGUGCUGGACUGGCUGGUGCAGCCCAAGCCUCGGUGGUUGGGGGGCAACGGCUGGCUGUUAGACGGCCCGGAGGAGGUUCUGCAGGCUGAGGCCUGCAGCACGACCGAGGAUGGAGACGAGCCUCUUCAUUGUCCCACGGGCUACGAGUGCCACAUCAUUAAUCCAGGAAACCCUGCCGCUGGCAUCCCAAACCGGGGACAGUGUAUCAAGCAACGUGGCAACUCUGAAGGACGUCUCAGGCACAAAUACUCCAAGGAUUACAAGGACUACUUGGGUAAGUGAGGUACCAGCUCGAGCAACGGAGUGGACUACGAAAAAAGUCAUCACAAGCACCUGGGAUAAAAUCGGCCCGACCUCAGGCUCACCCGCGGCCUUAACACAACCCGAGACAUCACCCCAGUCCUGUUCGAUCCGCUCUCAUCACCGGAUCCCAUCUGACCUUUCACCAGACCUCCAGCGGCUACCUCCUCCUCCCUAAAGCCCCGUCGUGCAGCCUGUCCUCACACCGUCUUUUGGUCUCCCUGUCUGUGAGAGAAUGUAGCAGUUGAUGGUGAAGCAGCGCAGUUCACCGAAGCUGCCCGUCAUGUAUUAGAAGAAAAUAAGGAGCCCGCGGUAUUUCUUAACAACCCUCCCCGUUCCCUGCAGCUCAUUGUUAUUCGCACACACUCUCUAACCUUCGAGGCCGGCCAGCGGGGAAAAUCACGCCCAUGUGGCUGUGAUUCAUAUUUUGUCUCUCUUGUUCUCAGGAAAACGGUGCUCAAAUUUCCUGAUCUGAAAUCUGGAAGGUUUUAAAGACUUUAAACAUUAAAAAAGAAAAAAAGAAAAAGUCCAGCUGCUGUGGUUCUCUUCUUUGAAUCUCAUCCAAGUGGGGUUUAAUGUUAAAAAAUAUAACUCAAGUAAAAUAAUAAGUGCCAUAUGAGUGUGGGGAUAGUGUUGGUUUUAAAGGAUUUUGGAACAGCUGUAGAUUAGUUCAAGCCAAUAAAUUCAGAGUGUGAUUUCAUCUCUAAAAAGGAUUAAAGCAAAUUAAAAAGGUUUAUUUGAAAGGGAGAUGAAUAUUUAACAAACAUUUGAUAGUUUAAAGAUUUGGGGGGUUCAAUUAAAAUUAAAUUUUCCAAUUAUUCCUGAAAUAAAUAAAACAAAUCAAUUAUGUAACAGCAGUAUGAUUGUUGAAACAUUUCAUACUUUUCAGUAAAAAUACUGCCUGCUUUCAAAAUAACAGUCUCUUUGUUGAGACAAGUCUGCAUUGCAACAUGGGUUGUGAAAAUAACCCAUGUUGCAAUGCAGACUUGUCAAAAGAUCCUCUGUGUCAUUUUCAAACAUGGCUGGCUUUAGUCAACCUUAGGUUGUCUCUACUGUCUACUCAAAUGGUGCUCAGUUUCAUUGCUGUUUGAAGUAACAGGAGAAUAGGCAGGUCACACGAUAAGCUGAAAGGUGUCAAACAAAAGGCUUUGUGUAUGUGCAGAGCUAGAGUGAUGUCUGAAUCUCGUUGUUUGACUGGUGCAAUUUUGACUUGUGAAAUAUACAUAAACCACAUUGUUGAAAUAAACCAGAGUUUUGUCAUUCUGUUUUUAUACAAGGGAUCUUAAAUCUCAAGGAAAAAGUUUGUAAUACUGAUGAAAAAGCAUUGAGAGGUCAAGUAAAGUUAGUCUUUAAAUGGUUGUUGUUUUUUCUUUUGCUUUUAUAUUUAAAUUCCCCUUUGCAUAGGCUCAUAUGCAUUAUUAUUCAUUCAUUAUUAUUAUUAUUAUUAUUACAAUGAAAGGUGUACAAUGAAAGGUGUACGCUUUGAGGCAAUUGCCGUCUUUGGAUUAUCUGAUUUAAGAUUUAGAGGCCUGCACCGUUUAACUACAAUGAGCUCAUUAAUGCAACCUGAAAACAUGCAGUAGAUUGUAUUCUUAUUCGUUUGCAGACGAUACUUUUACUAAAAUGUGUUAGUGACAGUUCUGUAUGUAGUAGGUACAACAUCAGUCAUUAGGAGAGAUAUUACAAUACAGAAACAAAUGCCCAAUAAAAAAUGCCCGGUGUA
Gasterosteus aculeatus aculeatus (three-spined stickleback) is the source of this 2735-nucleotide RNA transcript. It is a transcript of the gene named WAP four-disulfide core domain protein 1, with no coding region annotated. Lineage: Eukaryota; Metazoa; Chordata; Actinopteri; Perciformes; Gasterosteidae. The record is from RefSeq and is a predicted model, not a curated record.